This 227-nucleotide ribosomal RNA is filed under the name Alexandrium margalefii. RNAcentral's name for it is "partial Bacterial small subunit ribosomal RNA". It matches the Rfam family "Bacterial small subunit ribosomal RNA", at positions 1211 to 1436 of the family's 1533-position model. The record is from RNAcentral. Lineage: Eukaryota; Dinophyceae; Gonyaulacales; Pyrocystaceae.
GGGCUACACACGUGCUACAAUGGCUAGUACAAAGGGUUGCCAACUCGCGAGAGUGCGCUAAUCCCAUAAAGCUAGUCGUAGUCCGGAUCGGAGUCUGCAACUCGACUCCGUGAAGUCGGAAUCGCUAGUAAUCGCGUAUCAGCAAUGACGCGGUGAAUACGUUCCCGGACCUUGUACACACCGCCCGUCAAGCCAUGGGAGUUGGGUAUACCUGAAGAUGGUUGCCG